This 459-nucleotide ribosomal RNA is filed under the name uncultured bacterium. Its description in RNAcentral is "partial 16S ribosomal RNA". It matches the Rfam family "Bacterial small subunit ribosomal RNA", at positions 338 to 795 of the family's 1533-position model. The record is from RNAcentral.
CCUACGGUGGGCAGCAGUGAGGAAUAUUGGUCAAUGGGCGGGAGCCUGAACCAGCCAAGCCGCGUGAGGGAAGAAGGUACAGCGUAUCGUAAACCUCUUUUGUCAGGGAACAAAGGCGGGGACUAGUCCCCGGAUGAGGGUACCUGAAGAAAAAGCAUCGGCUAACUCCGGACCAGCAGCCGCUGUAAUACGGAGGAUGCGAACGUUAUCCAGAUUUAUUGGGUUAAAAGGGUGAGCAGGCGGCCUGUUAAGUAAGCGGUAAAAGCCCGGGGCUCAACCCCGGCGAGCCGUUGAAACUGGCGGGCUGGAGUUGGAGAGAAGUACGCGGAAUGCGCGGUGUAGCGGUGAAAGGCUUAGAUAUCGCGCAGAACCCCGAUUGCGAAGGCAGCGUACCGGCUCCACACUGACGCUGAGGCACGAAAGCGGGGGUAUCGAACAGGAUUAGAUACCCGGGUAGUC